Molecule: long non-coding RNA, 1782 nt
Filed under: Gallus gallus (chicken)
Lineage: Eukaryota; Metazoa; Chordata; Aves; Galliformes; Phasianidae
Source: RNAcentral
GUGAUACUGCUGGUCUUGCUACUAAAAGAUUAAAAGGAGUUCUUAGGAAGUCAGUGCUAAUGAAAUAACCUAGAACAGAGCCUCCAGAGACUGUGACCUCUGCUUAUCCUUACGUUCAACAGGAGGCUGCCUGGUGAGUACUUCAUUUCUGCUUACACCUGGGGUCUGAAAUUUCAUACAGAUCCACUCUGCAGACAGCUUCGGUAUAGACUGACUCCCAGCUUCUCCUUGACUCACUUACUAAGUAGAUGAUAGAACUGAGUAUUAGGCUAAGUCGUCAUUAUGAGUUGCAUAGCUUUGUUAGAAGAACAAAUGGGUAAUAAGCCCCAGGAACACAAGAAACAGCAACUACAGCAAUCCUUUUGUUUCACGGUGGUUGAGCAUGGUUUGGGAUGAGGAACCAAAUUUUGAGGAGUAACCUGCAGCAGUAAGAUAAAGCUAGUUUGAAAAACAUUCCCCAGAACAGUCCAACUUCUGUCUUUUUCUCCUCAGGAGCAAUUUAUCCUCUAAUCCCACGUAAACUUCGCUGCAAGAGUUACUACUGUGCCAGAUGCACAGUGGAGAAUCUCACCUCUAACAUGAGAGAUCCCAGACUGUAAGGAUGCAUCUGCAGCAACAGAGUAACAUCAGUUUCCUGACUGCUAGCAAGAUCCAGAAGGCUGAAGAAUACUUCAUUUCAAAGACAGGCAUGAAAGCCUGAUAGCUAAAAGAAGCAAAGACUUGCAGAGAACAGAUCUGCUCAGUGAGAUUCACGCACAGGACAGCUAUUUCUGGUUCAGCAGGCAGAUGUGUUUAUUCUUUGUCAGAAGGCGACACAGAUCGGUACCUGAAGGCAGUAAUCAUUUACAAGCAAGGGACUGUCACUACCCUAACGCAGGGCCCUUCCUCUCACAUCUCAUCAGAUGCCAGGGAGCGUGAAGUCACACAAACACAAACUCCUGGAAUAAGAUGCCAGUAAGCUACAUUACUGCCAGGGUGUUCUCCAGCUACUCUGGCACCUCCACCCCGUACAGGUCAAACAGUUCGCUGGGUAACUAACUGCACUUUCUUGAACAAGUUUACAGAAAAUUAGCCAGCAGAGCAAUGCUGUACCCCAAAAUGCCUCUGAUUACCUGACUCUUGAUGCCUUGCUGAGUGAUGAAGGUCUUCAGAGCCCCUGUUUCAGAGUUCUGAGGAUAGCCAAAAUCCAGGAUUUCUACAAGAGAGUAAAAGACAAUUAGCUCAGAGCCACAAGCCAGAAGUGCAACAGAGACAUGCCAACUACAUUAACAACUAUGGUAAGGAAAGGGUUACAGAACAACCAAAUGCAAUAUCAUACAGCUGGCCGAAGGGAAACAUCUCACCAUCCAGCAGCUCAUAGAUCAGCACGAAGUUGUUCUUUAUGUUUUCUUCACUGAUCUUUCCGAAGUAAGCAGUCAUCACGUCACACAUCUUGUAAAGAAACUCAAACACCAUGGCAGCGUUGACAUUCUGCUUGGUGACAGCAGCCAGCCAGAUGUUGGAACGCUUGACAUGGAAGAAACUUGUGCGGGCGAUGUUGGUGACAGGCGAGCGGACCUGCUGCCGUGCGUGGAUGACAUUGACGCGGAAGGCAUCCACGGCAUUCCGCCCAAUGUCAUCCCGGUAGACUCGAGAGAUUAAAACCUCUCCUUUGUGAUUAUAGAUGAAUAAGCCUCCGAUCAUGAUGGAACUUUAAUCUUCUCUUCCCAUGUUGGUUAAGACCGCUGCCGCUGACCCUCCGCCGCUCGCCGCCCAGCGCCCAAGAUGGCGGCUGCCGCCCCC